UCUCAGAAUGUCACUGUGCUUUGAUGUGG
Molecule: non-coding RNA, 29 nt
Filed under: Homo sapiens (human)
Lineage: Eukaryota; Metazoa; Chordata; Mammalia; Primates; Hominidae
Source: RNAcentral